GUCUCUCAAACAAAUAUUUCAUUAAAAUUUCGACAAGAACAUGGAUGGUCUUUUUGGUAUUUAUCCGUGCCCUGCACAUCUUUGUGCCUUCAAAAUAGUAUUGGCAUAGAAGAAUUCAGGAGGACAUGCCAUAGCUCUAUACACACAAUCCGAAGAUUGCACAGGCGAAUCCAUUUAUUAUAAUAUUUGCCCAUCAUCGUUGUGUCCGAUCAAUAGAACAUCUCUUAAACAUUACAUUUCUUCAAAAUGUUCAAAUAAU
Long non-coding RNA from Gordionus sp. m RMFG-2023, 259 nucleotides. RefSeq lists it as uncharacterized. The transcript is spliced from 3 exons. The record is from RefSeq and is a predicted model, not a curated record. NCBI's taxonomy places the organism in Eukaryota, Metazoa, Nematomorpha, Gordioida, Chordodea, Parachordodidae.